Molecule: non-coding RNA, 935 nt
Organism: Nicotiana tabacum (common tobacco)
Lineage: Eukaryota; Viridiplantae; Streptophyta; Magnoliopsida; Solanales; Solanaceae
Source: RefSeq, a predicted model, not a curated record
CUCCUCGUACCCUCUGUACUUCGCCGGAAUCUCACCGCCGGCGAACACCACCUACGCCAUCGGCCACCAAAAUAAUACCACGAAACCUCAUUUUCUUCCUCGUCAUGAAUCUACCACCCGUUUCCUUCAAAUCCAGCCCUAGCUCGUCGAAUCUUCGAUCAAAGGUUUCCGGCCAAAACACAAAAUAACCCAAUCACCACCAAAUUAACACCACGUAACCUCACCUGGGCCUCCUCUACCCAACCCUCAUGGCCUUGUAUCUCGAAUAUGUCUGGAAAAACUCGAAUCUCAGAUCGAGGGUUUCUGACCAAAAACCUAAGGCAGGAUCUCCAUGAUUUCGGACCCUAACAACCCCAACCAGGUGUUUUCUUAUGAAAACACAUGGUUAGGGAUGUUAAGGGUCAGAAAUUUCGGGGAUGUGGAAAAACCACUGGCCGGAGCUCUUCGUGGUCAGUGGGUUCGUAUUGGUACACAAUUGAACUGUCCCAAUGUAGACUCUCCUGUCCAAUGAUGAAUUGAAAUUGAAGUUUCUGCUGCAGUUUUCUUCUUCUGUUAAAUUGUAUUAUGUUAUAAACAUAUCCUGUGACUUAGUGAACUGUACACUCUAAUCAAUUAUGGACUGUAUGCCUGGGCCAUUUCGAAAUGUAGCAUGUGUUCGUUUAGACUUGAUUUUAGUAUAAUAGGUACUGGACUCUGUGUAAUCAUAGUUCUGUUAAAAUAAAAUAAAAAAUCAAAAAUAGUUGGUAUUGCAAUAGUUAACAGACACCUAGUGAAUCGUUAAUUGAUUCAGGUUUUGCUAGGUUGAGUCCAGUCAGAUGUAUGUCCAUGUAGGUGUUUUGAUUGUUGAUCAAUAUUUGGAGUUGACAGUUAUAAUUGAGAAUGCUAAUUGUUAUGGAAAAGGCUAUGGAAAUCCUGCAGUUUUAUUUUGUUUAAAA